CCGCGGUAAAACCAGCACCUCAAGUGGUCAGGAUGAUUAUUGGGCCUAAAGCAUCCGUAGCCUGCUCUGUAAGUUUUCGGUUAAAUCCAUCUGCUCAACAUAUGGGCUGCCGGAAAUACUGCAGAGCUAGGGAGUGGGAGAGGUAGACGGUACUCGGUAGGAAGGGGUAAAAUCCUUUGAUCUAUGGAUGACCACCUGUGGCGAAGGCGGUCUACCAGAACACGUUCGACGGUGAGGGAUGAAAGCUGGGGGAGCAAACCGGAUUAGAUACCCGGGUAGUCCCAGCUGUAAACUAUGCAAACUCGGUGAUGCAUUGGCUUGUGGCCAGUGCAGUGCCGCAGGGAAGCCGUUAAGUUUGCCGCCUGGGAAGUACGUACGCAAGUAUGAAACUUAAAGGAAUUGGCGGGGGAGCACCACAAGGGGUGAAGCCUGCGGUUCAAUUGGAGUCAACGCCGGA
RNAcentral lists this ribosomal RNA (457 nucleotides) under uncultured archaeon. Its description in RNAcentral is "bacterial SSU rRNA". It matches the Rfam family "Archaeal small subunit ribosomal RNA", at positions 465 to 922 of the family's 1478-position model. The record is from RNAcentral.